ACUUGACUCGGUUGCCUCGUCCCUCUGUCAACUCUUUCCUCGCUAUCCGUUGCAGCGCACAUAUAAACGCGCACUCCUCUACACACGCAAGCCUGUAUAAGAGCAGCCACACGAACUUCGAGAGAGAGGGAGGCUUUAAGCAGUAGGUUACCGUGCUCUGCUGCUUCAGGCUCUGUCUCGCCGUCGGUGUGCUGCUUAUCGGCGCCCUCUGCUUUCCGCAGUUUUCUCGUCUUUUGCUGUUUCGCAUUCCGUCAUUUUUUAUCGAUGCCAAGGGGAGCAAAGGGGGGUAAGAAGCGGUCGCGCAAGGAGGCCAGCGACAAUAUCGUUGAGGAUCUCGACCUCGACAUUGGGGACGCGGGUGCGUAUGUCAACGACGACGAUGUCGUGCACAACCGCUGCAGCCGCAAGGCCACCCGAGAGGAUGGCGUAGAGGAGGAGGAUAUGUUCGCCGUUCUGCCCUCGGACGCGCACCGCCUCGACGGAUACGGCGACGACGAGAACGGCGGAUUCCAGGAAGAGGAAGAGUUAGCGGUGGUGACGGAGAAGGGGCUGCGCAAGAAGACAACCGAGGAAGACUUCGACGUGGCCGGCGUGUCGGUGGCUCACUUGUCUUCGCGGCGUGACGAUGUGGCCAAGAAGAGUUCUUUAGACGCGCUCGAUGCUGCGCCAGUAAUCGAGGCCGUCGAGCGCGACUUUGCCGCUCUUACCACGGCAGAGCGGCUGGCGGUGCUCAAGAAGGAGUCACCGGAGCUGCUGAAGCUGCUGCUGGACCUAAAGACGUACAUGGCCGAGGUCAAGACACUCGCGCAGCCGCUUCACGAGCUGCUCUACGAGCGUAAGGUAUCCCCCUCGGACAAGAAUCUUGUCUCUUUCUUAGAAACCAAGGUUCAGCUCAUGCUGAGCUACUGCAUGCACGUAACCUUCUACCUCCUACUCAAGUCGGAGGGCCGAAAGGUAGCCGGCCACCCCGUGAUUGACCACUUGGUGGAGAUUCGUGUGUACCUGGAGAAGAUGUGGCCUCUGGAGGAGAAGCUGCAAUACUCACUGAACCGCCUCAUCAGCGGCAAAUCCACAGCAGCUGCACACCUGAAUGAGCUUCGUCCGCUGCAGUCCGGCGAGGGUGGCGCCUUCGAGUCCUCUCGCGCCAUGCAGAACACCGAGGCCCGCGAGCGCCGCCAGCAGUUGCGCCACAUGAAGGAGGCAGAGGAGCUGGAGCGGGAAGAGCAGGCUGCCAUGACGCGUGUGCGCACCAAGAAGGCGUCCGCGCUCAACAACAGCAACACCGCCAGCUCCGCGAUAGCGCCCGUCAGCUACCAGGAGGACGAGGACCAGUUCUUCUCUCGCAUUGCCGGCGGCGCCGACAAGGACGGCGGGGGUGCCGACGAAGUUGAAGGCGAGGAGGGUCUCUCUCUCAUGGAGGUUCUGCGCCGCCGCCAGAAGAAGGCUGGGGACGUGCUGAGCCGCCAGCGCACAUCGAAACAGCCAUCAAAACCCGCCGCAGUGGACUCCGAUGACGGCGAUGACGAGGACGAUUUGAAUGGGAUGGGCGACAUGGACGGCGACGAGGACGAAAUGGACCUCGGAGGCGCGGACGACGGAGACGACUGCAGCGAUGGAGACUACGAGGCGGUUUGGGAGGAGGAGCGUGCCCGUCAGGCCGCCGAGUCCUCUCGAAAGGCUGCCGCUGCCGCGGCCGCCUCGGCGCGCCGCCCUGCUCAGGAGGAGGUAGAUCGCCGCAAAGUCGGCAAGAAGAUCGAGUCGCACCGUGGACUCACGAGGGCCCGUCCGAAGGACCGCAAGAACCCACGCGUCGCCCAGCGCCGCAAGUACGAGCGCGGCAUGCAGGUGCAGAAGUCCCAGUCACGCAGUUUUCAGCCGAAGCCGGAGGGUGAGUUCGUCGGCGUACGGGACAUGAGGCCAGGCGUGGUGCGCGGCACCAAGCUAUGAUGCACUUCCUCCUACGCUCUGAAACGGGGACGGCAGUUCGGCUUUGCGGAUGUGCCUGUCCGCGCCACCGCGUGUGUGCGUGCGCGCGAGAGGGCUGGAUGAUGACCCGAUUAACGACUCUCCGUUUCUCUGUGCUCUUUUCGUUCAACUCACAGUGUUACUUCGCGAUUAAUAUUCGGCUUAAGUUCUAAGGCAUGCGAUGGCCGCUAUCCGUCCCUGACUUCUUCAGCACGCCCGUGGGUGUACGUGAGCUGCCUUUUUUUUUGUUCCUUGUCGAGAUUGACACGCGUGGGUGCGUGCGUUGGCGCGUACCUGCACCCCUCUGAAGGGAAAGAAAGCGUGAGGCGGAGGGGGGGGGAGGGGAGAUAAUGUUCUCCGUGCUUCACUGUCUCUUGUGCCUUGUGCCUCGCGUCGAUCACCCGUGCGGUUCUUUCCUUUUGCUCUUCGAAGGUUAAAGGGCCGCCUGUAUGGGCGUGUGCAAUGAUGUGCGUUUCCGUGCGUGCGUGCGAGUUAAUCGCGGACUAAAUAUGGCGACUAUAACGAUACGAAAAG
RNAcentral lists this unclassified non-coding RNA (2499 nucleotides) under Leishmania donovani. RNAcentral's name for it is "gene:LdHU3.28.0940(CDS-product:Sas10/Utp3/C1D_fam ily/Sas10_C-inal_domain_containing_protein_putative)". Lineage: Eukaryota; Euglenozoa; Kinetoplastea; Trypanosomatida; Trypanosomatidae. The record is from RNAcentral.